This 690-nucleotide long non-coding RNA is filed under the name Anas platyrhynchos (mallard). RNAcentral describes it as "lncRNA (ENSAPLG00020012826.1)". Lineage: Eukaryota; Metazoa; Chordata; Aves; Anseriformes; Anatidae. The record is from RNAcentral.
CACACCCUCUGUCCCCCGGCUCAUCAUGCCUGGCUCCCGCACACCCUCCCCACAGCCAUGGUGCUUGCAGUGGUGCCUCUCAUCCUCCUGGCUGCAGGCAGAUGGUUUGCCAUCAGGAAAGGUGCCUGCAGAGGGAGAUGCCCAAGGCAGCAACAAGUUGACAGCCCGCAGACGGAAGAUGCCAGCUAUGGUGACAUCCAGUACUCCACCAUCGCCCAUAUUCGACGGGACAGGCCUCGUCCCAUGCAUCAAAUGAGAAACAUCAUGACAUAUGCCACGGUGACCCACACUCAGACCAAAUAGCGCUGCCACAGGGCAAGGGCACAGGAGCCUUGCCCACAGCUGCCUUUGGCCUCCUGCAGAGGGCUCAUGGAGCCAUAACGUGGGGCUAGGGGGUGCACUUUGGUCUUCUUAGGGGUUUGUUUUCUCAGAGAAGGGCUGUGUGUGUCUAGCCAAGAAGAUGUAGGACUCACACCUCCAUCUACAAGACAUUAAUACUUCUAAAAUAUAUGACCUAUACCAAAUCUUACUGUGACUGUAUUGAUUUUUUCUCAACAAAAGAAAACAUCUCGCUGUGCUCAGUGGAUGAUGUGUAUACCUAAGUUGCAUUAUAAUGCCAUGGGGGUGUUAUUCUACCCACCCACAGAGAUGCCCAUUUUUGACCUACAUGGACAGAUAUCACUGCAGGCA